GAUCAUGGCUCAGGACGAACGCUGGCGGCGUGCCUAAUACAUGCAAGUCGAGCGAAGUUUUUCUGGUGCUUGCACUAGAAAAACUUAGCGGCGAACGGGUGAGUAACACGUAAAGAACCUGCCUCAUAGACUGGGACAACUAUUGGAAACGAUAGCUAAUACCGGAUAACAGCAUUAACUGCAUGGUUGAUGUUUAAAAGUUGGUUUUGCUAACACUGUGAGAUGGCUUUGCGGUGCA
RNAcentral lists this ribosomal RNA (238 nucleotides) under uncultured bacterium. RNAcentral describes it as "partial 16S ribosomal RNA". It matches the Rfam family "Bacterial small subunit ribosomal RNA", at positions 15 to 240 of the family's 1533-position model. The record is from RNAcentral.